AUUGAACGCUGGCGGCAGGCCUAACACAUGCAAGUCGAGCGCGAAAGGCCUUCGGGCUGAGUAGAGCGGCGGACGGGUGAGUAACGCGUAGGAAUCUACCUGGUAGUGGGGGACAACUUGGGGAAACUCAAGCUAAUACCGCAUACGCCCCACGGGGGAAAGCGGGGGACCUUCGGGCCUCGCGCUAUCAGCUGGGCCUGCGUAGUAUUAGCUAGUUGGCGAGGUAAAGGCUAACCAAGGCGACGAUCCUUAGCUGGUCUGAUCGAAUGAUCAGCCACACUGGGACUGAGACACGGCCCAGACUCCUACGGGAGGCAGCAGUGGGGAAUAUUGCGCAAUGGGGGCAACCCUGACGCAGCCAUGCCGCGUGUGUGAAGAAGGCCUUCGGGUUGUAAAGCACUUUCAAUGGGGAAGAAAAGCGUAGCGUUAAUAGCGUUGCGCCGUGACGUUACCCAUAGAAGAAGCACCGGCUAACUCCGUGCCAGCCGCCGCCGUAACAC
RNAcentral lists this ribosomal RNA (500 nucleotides) under uncultured bacterium. RNAcentral describes it as "bacterial SSU rRNA". It matches the Rfam family "Bacterial small subunit ribosomal RNA", at positions 29 to 526 of the family's 1533-position model. The record is from RNAcentral.